This 492-nucleotide ribosomal RNA is filed under the name uncultured bacterium. Its description in RNAcentral is "partial 16S ribosomal RNA". It matches the Rfam family "Bacterial small subunit ribosomal RNA", at positions 30 to 507 of the family's 1533-position model. The record is from RNAcentral.
AUUUAACGCUGGCGGCAUGCUUUACACAUGCAAGUCGAACGGUAACAGGCCUUCGGGUGCUUACGAGUGGCGAACGGGUGAGUAAUGCAUCGCAACGUACCCAGAGGUGGGGGAUAACGCACCGAAAGCUGUGUUAAUACCGCAUGUGAUCUGUGGAUGAAAGCGGGGGACCGAGCAGCAAUGUUUGUCCUCGCGCCUUUUGAGCGGCCGAUGUCGGAUUAGCUAGUUGGUGGGGUAAAGGCCUACUAAGGCGACGCCCCGUAACUGGUCUGAGAGACCGAGCAGCCAAACUGGGAAUGAGGAACGGACCAGACUCCGAGGGGAGGCAGCAGUGGGGAAUUUUGGACAAUGGGAGCAAGCCUGAUCCAGCAAUGCCGCGUGCAGAAAGAAGGCCUUCGGGUUGUAGACCGCUUUUGGCAGGAACGAAACAGUGUCCGCUAAUAACGGGAGAUAAUGACGGUACCUGAAGAAUAAGCACCGGCUAACUACGUG